GCAUAUCAAUAAGCGGAGGAAAAGAAACCAACAGGGAUUGCCUCAGUAGCGGCGAGUGAAGCGGCAAAAGCUCAAAUUUGAAAUCUGGCGUCUUUGGCGUCCGAGUUGUAAUUUGAAGAAGGUAUCUUUGGGCCCGGCUCUUGUCUAUGUUCCUUGGAACAGGACGUCACAGAGGGUGAGAAUCCCGUGCGAUGAGAUGACCCGGGUCUGUGUAAAGUUCCUUCGACGAGUCGAGUUGUUUGGGAAUGCAGCUCUAAGUGGGUGGUAAAUUCCAUCUAAAGCUAAAUAUUGGCGAGAGACCGAUAGCGAACAAGUACAGUGAUGGAAAGAUGAAAAGAACUUUGAAAAGAGAGUGAAAAAGUACGUGAAAUUGUUGAAAGGGAAGGGCUUGAGAUCAGACUUGGUAUUUUGCAUGCUGCUCUCUCGGGGGCGGCCGCUGCGGUUUACCGGGCCAGCAUCGGUAUGGAGCGGCAGGAUAAUGGCGGAGGAAUGUGGCACGCCUUCUUUUUUGUUUAGCCUCUGACGAUACUCCCGCCUGACCGAGGACUCGG
Molecule: ribosomal RNA, 551 nt
Filed under: Candida albicans
Lineage: Eukaryota; Fungi; Ascomycota; Pichiomycetes; Serinales; Debaryomycetaceae
Description: eukaryotic LSU rRNA
Rfam family: Eukaryotic large subunit ribosomal RNA
Source: RNAcentral